AUUGAACGCUGGCGGCAUGCUUUACACAUGCAAGUCGAACGGUAACAGGCCGCAAGGUGCUGACGAGUGGCGAACGGGUGAGUAAUGCAUCGGAACGUGCCCAGUCGUGGGGGAUAACUACUCGAAAGAGUAGCUAAUACCGCAUACGAUCUAUGGAUGAAAGCGGGGGACCGUAAGGCCUCGCGCGAUUGGAGCGGCCGAUGUCAGAUUAGGUAGUUGGUGGGGUAAAGGCUCACCAAGCCAACGAUCUGUAGCUGGUCUGAGAGGACGACCAGCCACACUGGAACUGAGACACGGCCCAGACUCCUACGGGAGGCAGCAGUGGGGAAUUUUGGACAAUGGGCGCAAGCCUGAUCCAGCAAUGCCGCGUGCAGGAAGAAGGCCUUCGGGUUGUAAACUGCUUUUGUACGGAACGAAACGGCUCUGGUUAAUACCCGGGGCUAAUGACGGUACCGUAAGAAUAAGCACCGGCUAACUACGUA
RNAcentral lists this ribosomal RNA (482 nucleotides) under uncultured bacterium. RNAcentral's name for it is "partial 16S ribosomal RNA". It matches the Rfam family "Bacterial small subunit ribosomal RNA", at positions 30 to 507 of the family's 1533-position model. The record is from RNAcentral.